Non-coding RNA from Oryctolagus cuniculus (rabbit), 3045 nucleotides. The record is from RefSeq and is a predicted model, not a curated record. Lineage: Eukaryota; Metazoa; Chordata; Mammalia; Lagomorpha; Leporidae.
AAUCAGAAUCUUUUAUCAAGACCUGCAGGUGACUACUGUCCAGAACACUGAUCUGAUACAGGGACCCAAAUGAAGUCAGUAAUGGAUCAGUAUCUCCUCUAAGAAGAAACAUCUUCAAGGCAGUUAUUAAAAACAAACCAACAAAACUCUUGAAAAUAUUUAGCCCCAAAGAAGGAGUAGUAGAAUCCCAAGCACCUGGCUCCUCAGAGACACAGCAUCCCACCAUUUCCACUCCCAUCUUGUUUUCAAGCAGUGGAUAGAAAGGGGUUUAAGAGAGAGAAAACAAGAGGGAAUGAUACAAGAAAAUAAGGCAACAAAACUACAAACCUAUAUUAGCCACUUAUAUGUUUUUCUCCUUCAUAAAAUAUGGACUAUAACACAUUUUUAUUAUUUAGGUGAUUGACAGCUAAUAAAAUAGCACUUAGAAAAAUGUGCCAGCUUGCUAAACACAUUGAGUUCUGGUUUUCCCACAGUUAAUUUGGCUGCUUAGAACUUGGCGGAGUCACCAUAGAUUGUGUCCCUUCUCUUCUACUCCAACCACCUUCUACUUACUACCCAACUAAAGCAACAUCUCUGUGGGCAGACUGCAGGAUGUAGAUGCUUUUAAGAAAUAAAAUAUUACAGGUGUGGAGGAAGCUUCGCAGUCUGGUGCAACCUUGCCCUCCAGAGGUAAAUGACACUGGGAGUCUGGUGUUCUACUGGACCAGUUUUAUACUCUCAGUGUGCCAUAGAAAGCAGAGAAUCAGCCAGUGGAGAAGCAAGGCACAGCUUCCCCUGAGACCGGCAGGGGAAGGAGACGGAUGAGAACAGUGCAACAGGACACGUGAAAACCAACACGGAGGAGCAGCACGGCGAGAGGCGGGAGGCCAGGCAGCUGAGCUUCGUAGUCGGGAUGCUGCUGCAGUGACUUGGGAUUGAGGCUGCCAAGAUCUGGACCAGAAAAAGACCCAGGAGGCACAGGCAGUCAAAGCCAAAAUUAACUAUUGGGAUUGCAUCAAAUUGAGAAGUUUCUGUACUGCAAAAGAAACAGUCAGGAGAGUGAAGAGACAACCGACAGAAUGGGAAAAAAUAUUUGCAAACUAUGCAACAGAUAAAGGGUUAAUAACCAGAAUCUACAAAGAGAUCAAGAAACUCCACAAAAACAAAACCAACAACCCAGUUAAGAGAUGGGCCAAGGACCUCAAUAGACAUUUUUCAAAAGAGGAAAUCCAAAUGGCCAACAGGCACAUGAAAAAAUGUUCAAGGUCAUUAGCAAUCAGGGAAAUGCAAAUCAAAACCACAAUGAGGUUCCACCUCACCCCGGUUAGAAUGGCUCACAUACAGAAAUCUACCAACAACAGAUGCUGGCGAGGAUGUGGGGAAAAAGGGACACUAACCCACUGUUGGUGGGAAUGCAAACUGGUCAAGCCACUAUGGAAGUCAGUCUGGAGAUCCCUCAGAAACCUGAAGAUAACCCUACCGUUCGACCCAGCCAUCCCACUCCUUGGAAUUUACCCAAAGGAAUUUAAAUUGGCAAACAAAAAAGCGGUCUGCAGCCUAAUGUUUAUUGCAGCUCAAUUCACAAUAGCUAAGACCUGGAACCAACCUAAAUGCCCAUCAAUGGUAGACUGGAUAAAGAAAUUAUGGGAUAUGUACUCUUUAGAAUACUAUACCGCAGUAAGAAACAACGAAAUCCAGUCAUUUGCAACAAAAUGGAGGAAUCUGGAACACAUCAUGCUGAGUGAAGUAAGCCAGUCCCAAAGGGACAAAUACCAUAUGUUCUCCCUGAUCGGUGACAACUGACUGAACACCAAAAAGGAAACCUGUUGAAGUGGAAUGGACACUAUGGGAAACGGUGACUUGAUCAGCAUAGCCCUGACUGUUAAUGAACAACUUAAUACAUUAUCCUUCUUAGUAGUUUUUUUGUCUGUUCUACUUAAUAUGACUGGUUUAAUUAUGUAAUUAAUACACAGUUAUUCUUAAGUGUUGAAAUUUAACUGAAAUGUGAUCCCUGUUAAACAUAAGAGUAGGAAUAAGAGAGGGAAGAGAUAUAUAAUUUGGGACAUGCUCAAGCUGACUUGCCCCAAAUGGUAGAGUUAGAAACAUACCAGGGGACUCCAAUUUAAUCCCAUCAAGGUGGCAUGUACCAAUGCCAUCUCACUAUUCCAAGUGAUCAAUUUCAGUUCACAAUUGAUCAUAAUGAAAGGACUAAGAGUCAAAGGGAGCACAUAAACGAGUCUAGUACCUGCUAACACUAACCGAUAGAAUAAAUAAAGGGGAGAGUGAUCCAACAUGGGAAGUGAGAUACUCAGCAGACUCAUAGAAUGGCAGAUGUCCUAAAUAGCACUCUGGCCUCAGAAUCAGCCCUAAAGGCAUUCGGAUCUGGCUGAAAAGCCCAUGAGAGUAUUUCAGGCAUGGAAAGCCAAGACACUCUGGCCAAAGAUCUCUGUGAGUGAGAUCUCAGUGGAAAGAACAGGUCUUCAAAGAAGGAGGUACCUUUCUCUGAAGGGAGGAGAGAACCUCCACUUUGACUAUGACCUUGUCUAAACAAGAUAAGAGUCGGAGAACUCAGAGGGCUUCCAUAGCCUUGGAAACUCAUGACUGGAGCAUAGGGAGAUUACUGAUGCCAUAGACAGGAGUGUCAAUUGGUAAAGUCAACAACAGGAGUCACUGUGCACUUACUCCUCAUGUAGGAUCUCUGUCCUUAAUGUGCUGUACAUUGAGAUUUAAUGCUAUAACGAGUACUCAAACAAUAUAUUUCACUUUGUGUUUCUAUGGGGGUGCAAACUGUUGAAAUCUUUACUUAAUGCAUACUAAACUGAUCCUCUGUAAAAAAAAAAAAAAAAAAAGAAAGAAAUUAUCAGCUCCCAACUUGACUCUCACUGGGAUUAAACAUGACAAUAGGUCUGAUCUGAUUUCAUCAUCAUUUAAAAAAAAUCAUCUAUUAUUUUUCACUUUAUGUUUCUGUGUGGGAGCAAACUGUUGAAAUCCUUACUUAAUGUAUACUAAGCUGAUCUUCUGUAUAUUAAGAUAAUCGAAAAUGAAUCUUGAUGUGAAUGGAAGGGG